GAUGAACGCUGCGGCCUUCCUAAUACAUUCAAGUCGAGCGAACAGACGAGGAGCUUUCUCCUCUUAUGGUAGCGGCGGGCGGGUUAGUAACACGUUGAUAACCUACCUAUAAGACCUGGAUAACUUCGGGAAACCGGAGCUAAUACCGGAUAACAUUUUGAACCGCCUGGUUUAACAGUUAAAGACGGGCUUUCUUUCACUUAUUGGUGGAUCCGCGCCGCAUUAGCUAGUUGGUAAGGUAACGGCUUACCAAGGCAACGAUGCGUAGCCGACCUGAGAGGGUGAUCGGCCACACUGGAACUGAGACACGGUCCAGACUCCUACGGGAGGCAGCAGUAGGGAAUCUUCCGCAAUGGGCGAAAGCCUGACGGAGCAACGCCGCGUGAGUGAAGAAGGUCUUCGGAUCGUAAAACUCUGUUAUUAGGGAAGAACAAAUGUGUAAGUAACUAUGCACGUCUUGACGGUACCUAAUCAGAAAGCCACGGCUAACUACGUG
This 496-nucleotide ribosomal RNA is filed under the name uncultured bacterium. RNAcentral describes it as "partial 16S ribosomal RNA". It matches the Rfam family "Bacterial small subunit ribosomal RNA", at positions 28 to 507 of the family's 1533-position model. The record is from RNAcentral.